RNAcentral lists this long non-coding RNA (17835 nucleotides) under Capsicum annuum. Its description in RNAcentral is "long non-coding RNA (CANN_LNC012405)". The record is from RNAcentral. Lineage: Eukaryota; Viridiplantae; Streptophyta; Magnoliopsida; Solanales; Solanaceae.
GGAUCGAUUGUAGGAGCAACAAAAGCUUCAUUCCUUGGAGGGAGAAGAUUGAGAGUAAGCAAUGUACCUGUAGCCGGAUCACCGCGUGCUGCAACUACAGUGUGUGUUGCUGCCGACCCCGACAGACCCCUCUGGUUCCCUGGCAGCGUCCCUCCUCCAUGGCUUGAUGGCAGGUCAGUCAUGAUCCAGCUAGUAUAUCAUACUGUGUAUAUUUAUCAGGUGAAAGUUCACGCAAUCAAUCAAUCAAGCUAUUAAAAUUCCUCGAUCUAGCUAGUAUUAUAUAGUUUUUUUGGCAUAAUAUAUAUAGACGGACACUUAAACUUACCCUCAACCGAUAAGUAAGCACUCUAAUUUUGUGCACAUUUAGAUACCUCAACUUGAUUUUAACUAGCAACUAAACACUCCAACUUAUACUUACUGUGUCUCGUGAAUGCCCCACACUGAUGUGACUGGUACAGUGGAUACGAGCUGAGGUAUCUAGAUGUGUAUACUCAAAGUUGGAGUAGUUACUUGUCAGUUGAGGUCAAGUUUGAGUGCCUGUUUAUGUGUUAUGCCUUUUUAAAAAAAAGAAUAAUUGGAGUAGGAAAAGGGGAUUACAAGAUGGAAAAUCUAAAGCUCACCAAUAAGGUGAAAGUUCAUGUAAUCAAUCGACUGAACUACUGAGAUUUUCUAAUCUAUAUGCUGAAAUUAUUUUAUUCUUCUUCGUUUUGCAGCCUUCCCGGAGAUUUUGGUUUCGAUCCUCUUGGCCUAGGUAUAUAUCAGUCUAAUUCUGAUUUUUCAAUUUAGGAUACAUACAGAAGGGAAGCCUUGGAGUAACUGGUAAAGUUGCUGUCAUGUGACCAGAAGGUCAUGGGGUCAAGCCUUGGAAACAGCCCCUUGCAGAAAUGUAAGGUGAGGCUACGUACAAUAGAUCUUUGUGGUCGGGCACUUCCCCGGACUCUGCGCAUAGCGGGAGCUUAGUGCACCUGCCCCUUUAGUAUUGGAUAUAUAUAGAAGGGGAGCCUUGGAGUAACUGGUAAAGUUGCUGCCAUGUGACCAGGAGGUCACGGGGUCAAUCCUUGGAAACAUCCCCUUGCAGAAAUGUAAGGUGAGGCUACGUACAAUAGAUCCUUGUGGUCGGGCCCUUCCCGGGACCCUACGCAUAGCGGGAGCUUAGUACACCGGGCUACCCUUCAGUAUUGGAUAUAUAUAGAUGUCUAUAGAUAUAACUUGUGUAUAUCAUUUGAGUACAGGAUCUGACCCAGAGAGCUUGAGAUGGAACCAACAGGCAGAGAUUGUACACUGCAGAUGGGCAAUGUUGGGAGCUGCAGGAAUUUUCAUUCCAGAAUUCCUCACGAAACUCGGUAUCCUUAACACACCUUCAUGGUACACUGCUGGUGAACUAGAAUACUUCACGGACACAACGACUCUCUUCAUCAUUGAGUUGAUACUUAUCGGUUGGGCCGAGGGAAGAAGGUGGGCCGAUAUCAUCAAGCCUGGUUGUGUAAACACUGACCCUAUCUUCCCUAACAACAAGCUCACAGGGACAGACGUUGGUUAUCCAGGAGGCUUAUGGUUUGAUCCGUUGGGUUGGGGUUCGGGUUCACCUGAGAAGAUAAAGGAGUUGAGGACAAAGGAGAUCAAGAACGGUAGACUUGCUAUGUUAGCCGUUAUGGGCGCAUGGUUCCAACACAUUUACACUGGAACAGGUCCUAUUGACAACCUCUUUGCUCACCUUGCUGAUCCCGGUCACGCCACUAUUUUUGCUGUAAGUACAACCACAUUUUAAUUCAUACUCUUGGUUAUUCGAGUUACAACAACAACAUACCCAGUGUAUUCCCACCUACUAGGGUCUGGGGAGGGUAAAAUGUACGCAAUCCAUACCUGAUACCACCACCUAUCACCACCUCUGAAGAAGUAGAGAGGCUGUUUCCGAUAGACCCCUGACUCAGGACAAAAAGAUACUUAGAAAGUCUUGAUAAAACAUGAAACAAGAUGAAAUAACAUAAAUAAGACACCCACAAAGUAGUACUAUACACUAUUAACUAGAGACUCCAACUCUUGGUUAUUCAAGUUAAUGGUCAAAAACACAACUUAAAGUAUCCACAUUUUUCGAGUUUCAUAUCUAAAUUAUCAGGUGUGCGAGUCACUGAAGUUGUUUGUGAUUAUGUUUCAGGCAUUCACUCCCAAGUGAGAAGAAGAAGCAUGAGGAUAUUUUGAUGUAAUGAAUGAUGUGUAAAAGUAACAUUUGAAGUAGAUUUGUGCAAAGAGAACUAAUGUUUCUUUCCCACAUUUGGUUUGCUCAUGUCUGUCUUCUGUCGAAAAAGACUAAGCAAUGUACAAAUACAUUUCGACAACUCGUAUCAGAUCAAGAAAAUCUAUUUAUAUAUGUUCAUUCAUUUGCAUGAUAGAAGAUUUUUACUGCAAUAGUCUACAAAGAUACACAGGAACUGGAUGGUAAGAGACUUUGGUUCUAACCUUUAUUUUACCAGCUUUCGUUAUGUAAAAAGCUAAUAAGAACCGCGUUUCUCAUAGUAAAGUUAUUUCGUUAAGAAUCAGUAUGUAGAGUAGAAAGGGAGCCUUGGAGUAACUGAUAAAGUUACUGUCAUGUAACCAAGAGGUCACAAUUUCAAGUAAAGUAACAGACUUUCGCAACCUAUAUUUCACCAGUUUUCAUUAUGUAAAAGGCUAGUAAGAACUAAGUUGCUCAUAGUAAAGAUAUUGCUUCAUAGGGAUAAAGUUGUUUGAUCACGCGAUUGGUUUGGUUGUUUGUUUUAGAAUUCUGCUUCCGGUACCCUUCACGAAUCUAUUUUUGCCACUUCUGUUAAGAAUCGGUACCUAAAUUAGAAGUGGAGCCUUGGAGUAACCGGUAAUGUCGCUACCAUGUGACCAGGAGGUCACAGGUGUGGAUCAGCCUAUUGCAUAAAUGCAAGGUAAGGUUGCAUUGCAACCCUUGUGGUUCGUCCCUUCCUGGGAUCCCAUGCAUAGCAAGUGCACCGGGCUUCCCAAUCAAUAAGGAUAUUGAGUAUACGGUUGAUGUAUCAGACUCGACCUUAUCUUUGGUGGCAUGCAUUCCCAUCCAAUCCAUGUCAUAACAUUAUUUUGAACAUAUCCAAUAAUGUCCGAACUCUUUCUUCUGUAUCGAGUAUUAUCGAAAUAAACUUCAACUCCAGUUUAUUUUCCUCAUCUUAAUUUCAACUUUGGCCACGAUGAUUUUACCAUAUAAAUGUUGGACGAAAGGGUUAACUCCAAAUACUAUGAGCCACCAUAAAGCUCUACUGUAAAUUAGGGGAAAAAAACUCUAGUAACAAAUUGCUUUAUGGCACCAAAGUUCAAAAGUUACACAAAAAAGAUUAAAUCUUCAAGAGCAUGAUUAAUAAGUUAUUGGAUAUUAUAAAUGUUGUAAAAAUUCUAGUAGUGUGAUUAUGUGUGUGUUUGAAACUGAAGUACAAGAUAGGAGGACAAAAAUCGAAGUAAAAAACAUCUUCAUGUAACAGAUACAACAACAUACCUAGUGAAAUCCCACAAGUAGGGUGUGGGAGGGUUGAGUGUACGCAGACCUUACCCCUAGAUAAAGAGAUCAUUUCCGAAGGACCCUCGGCUAAAAAAAAAAAGAGUUAAAGUGAAUCAAGGCAAGCCAAGAGUAAGGGACACCUGGUCCUGUUCUAAAAGUACACAAAAAUUCAACAGUAAAACAAUUUUGAUAUAGCUUUCUAGGAGGGGCUUCGGGUUUGAACCAACAACAUCCUUCUCUUGUCUUUGCUGCUUCAUUUUUCUCUCUCAUUGCACGUGAACUUAGAAAGGCCUUGUGCAUUCCCUAUUGCUUUCGUCAAUGGUUCUAUGUGAUGAAGUUCAUACUGAUUUCAUUGUUUCUUUGGAUACUCCCUCGGUCCAAAUAUGGUGGAUCCAAUUCUCACAUUGGUGCUGCCCAUUUCUAUCUGCAGUAUUACGACAGAGAAUCAACACAACACGUACGAGCAGUUUCCAAAUGCAGCUUAUAUAUACUUUAAAUGAGCAAAAUAGAACCAGCUCAUAUUUUUCAUAAUUCCAUGCUUACUUCGGGAAUAAAACAGACUUCACAAAUAGUCCACAAAAUAUAUUAGGAAAUCCAUUGGCAGAAAGGCGAAAGAUGGCCAGCUUGAACAAUUGUAACUGAUUCAUAAACUUGUUUUGGGUUCACAAUACGAGAAAAAUAAGUUGAGGAGGAAAAUAUAUUUUUGCAUCAGCAUGCUAGAGGCGUUAAAUUAAACUUAAGGAUAACGGAGUAGUCAGCUGCCGCAAAUGAAAUUAAUAAGAAGUGAUUCUUUCAUUAGAAUUAAUUUAUUGGAUGAAAAAGAUCAGUUUUUUUAACAAGGUAAGAAAAUACCAGCUUACCGCUAACUCAAAGUCACUAGACAUGCCCAUUGAUAACUCACAUCGAGAUUCAGCCAUCCCAAGCACCUUGCAAACUUCAGUUCUACAAUUCAGUAGCGUCUAUCGCAUUACAAGAAAAAUGGAGAUCAUCAAUUUGGAGAAAUUGCGAAAUAUGGUGGAGUUAAUAUGAACAAUUUGAGUUAAUAUGAAAAAUGGAGUUAAUAUGAAGCUCCCAACAUGCAUGACUCAAAUAUAUCCAUUUGAUAACAAACUUCUCAAGGAUUCCAUAUACAGAAAUUACUUAGCACAAGAAAAGCAUCUUUCUAUAAUACAUAAGAUCUAAAGUAGGGAAAGAAAAGAAAGAAAAAUUCCCAUAACUAUGAAGAAAAUUGUUUUGGUGACUAUUACCAUUAAAAUUAACGAAAGAAAACUUCCCAUAACAAUGACGAAAAUUGUUUCGGUGACUAUUACCAUUGACGAAAAAGGUCUGCCUUCAACACUAGGUGAUUUCUUCACAUCUAUCCGGGCCUUGAUGGACAGAGCUACUCAGUUACCUCAUACCUGUGCUGGUGGGAGGUAGCAGGUACCUCAAGGAAUUAGUCGAGGUGCGCGCAAGCUUACCCGACACCACAGUUAUCAAGAAAAAAUGCCAGCUUUCAGUAGUUUAUGAUUGUUCUUCCUUUGCAUCUUUUAUUAGUAAAGAGUGGGACAUUUUCAAACAGUUGAGGGGACUUGGAAUUCUUAUAUGUCAUGUAAAACUAAAUUAUGGAUUCAUUACAGAACAUCACCUUGAAGUUCUCUGGGGUUGAAGUGUAGUCAGGCCUUCCAAUUGUCAUUAGGCCAGAGAACUCAAGGUUUGGGCAAUCCAGCUUGACAUGUCUGGCAAGCUCUAUGCAAUUUGAUGGAUCAACACCAGAUUUUGCUGCAUAUAGUUAAAUUAAUGAAUUUACGAGUUCCUUCGGAAGUAGAAAGACUGGAGUCCUUCUUUGGCCUUGAACGUCAAAAAAAAAGCAUUGUACAUUUCGAUCAAACAUGCAUUACUGGCACUGAAGGAAAAAAAAUCCAACAACUCAAUCCAAAAUUUGUGAGAUUUCAUCUGCAAGUUAACCAGUACUCUGAGGACUUGAAGCAACACAUCAGAAACCUUUCAAUAACCUAAACCAUAAAAAAGGGCAGCCCGGUGAAGAAAAGCCCACGCUAUGCGCGUGGUCCGGGGAAGGGACGGACCACAAGGGUCUAUUAUAUGCAGCCACACCUUGCAUUUCUGCCAAAGGCUGUUUCCACGGCUUGAACCCGUGACCUCCUGGUCACAUGGUUGACCAGCACUUAUACCCGUUACUCCAAGGCUCCCCUUGAAUAACCUAAACCAUAUUGCUCCGUAAACACCAACAACCUAAUAGCAUGUAGAUCUAAUUACUAGAGUUGUCGUCAAUCCUGCCUAGUUUCUCUCAGAAUCUGCAAGCAAGAAUGAGGAGAAAAGAUACUCACACUCCUCUCCGCUGGUAUUAACUUGAACCAAAACCUUCAAGGGCUGCCUGCCAAUGCUUGAAACCGCACGAUCAAGAUGAUUUGCAAGCUGCAGAUUAGAAAGAAAGUUGUAUGAUUGAUCAGCUUUGUUCAAUUCAAACAAUUAUAUGCAUUCAAAGUGACUAUAAUCUAAACAAACAAAAUUAUUAAAGCUUCAAGGUGUGGUUGAAUUUUAACAACGACCAGAUACAGAAGGAACUCAGGAGAGAAAUGAAUGAAGUAGCACAUUCCACCGCACUCAGUUUAUAAACCGACAGCGGAUCCACUUUGAUAUAGCUAUUUAUGUUAUGAUAACCAUGUGGGGCUAAUUUAUAUUGAUCUCGGUUUUUAUUAUCCUGAUGAACUGUGAAAGUAAAUUACAAAUAACCAUGCNNNNNNNNNNNNNNNNNNNNNNNNNUGCUGAACUGUGAAAGUAAAUUAAAAAUCACACUGCUGCUGGCUUAGUGGAAAUAGAAGUAGAAUAUGACAUUUUCAAGAUUAAACAAGUUGACUACUCCUUAAGUUCAUCAAGCUUUAAGAAACACAGGUAAACUCUUUACCUUCGGGUUAUCAACGCCAUGAAUCAUAGCUAGAUUGGGAACAGCAGCUGCAGUGAAGGAGGUAAACUUUAGACAAAUUUAAGAUUGAUAUACUUAUCCUAUUUACACAUAAGCAUAAAUGCUUCCUGAGAGUAAGGAGGGGGUCUGCUCUUGUCAGGAUACCCAAAAAAAAAAAAGGAACCGUUUAUACUCUAGUUAGACACUUCAACUCUCACCUUUCAGGUCCUUAGCACUAAAUAACAAAUUGUUAGUUGAAAUGGGAAAAGUGAAGUGGAAGAUCAUACGUCCAAAAGAAAAUAGCAGGCUUGUCAUUCACCAAAUUAAGCAUGGAGAGGCGAUUUUGGCCCUGAGUUGAUGGUUGAUACAAAAUAAAAAGGUUUCUGCACUCUACUCAGACACUUCAAUCUUAAUUCUUACAUUACAGCAUACAGGUCCUUAGCACAAAAUAACAAAUUUUUAGUUGGAAAAGGUUAAGAGAUAAUACAUUGAGGAAAUUAUGCAGACUUGUAUUUUACCAACAGAGCAAUUGGAAAAGAAUCAAAGUAACCAAAUAUAAGAUCCUAUGGAUCAUUGAGGAAACAAAUGCUAGCAACAAGAGGGGAAUCCAAAAUUUUGAAGUCUUUGUUGAAAACCACUGAAUCAAUGCAUACACACAACUUCCAACCUCUCGUUGGAAACCACAAAAAGUAAAGAGCGAGAAGUGAUGUCAAUUGAUGGACAAUUUAGGGAAGUUCGAUAAUAACAAAACAAAAUAUUGCACAAAAUACUUAGAUGAGCCCGUACUCAGGAGUUGCUUCACUUUAUUGCUCUGCAAAUGCCCAAUAUAAUGCCAUUCUAUGUCCUCCGGAAGCUGUAUAUGAACAAUACAUAAUCAAUAUACCACAAUGAAAAAAAUCUGCCCGCAACUAUCAACUACUCCAUUUGUCCCAAUUUACGUGGCACUUUUCACUUCUCGAGAUUCAAUUAUUCUGAACUUUGACCAACAUUUUAAAGUGUAUUUUUUCAACAUAUUAACAUGAGAAUAAUUGUGACUUAUAGUAGAUUGUAUAGUUGUUGAAUAUCCAAAUUUUACUUCUAAUCAAGUUGAUCCGAUAUCAGUCAAAUUCACUCGAGAAGGGGAUGGAUAGAGUAUCAUUUAUGUCUCAAUCCCAAAUUAACUCAGCUAUAAGAAUUCUUUUUAUAUCCAAAGUUCAUGGCCAAAAACACACCUGAAUUGUCCCAUUUUUCGCGAGUUUCCUACUUUCCUACCUGAACUAUCAUAGAGUAUUUCUCAAAACACACCUGAAUGGUCAGUUGUUCUUUUUUCCUCCGUGAACUAUCACUUGCUAAUUUUUUUUUUGAGUUCCAUACCUGAACUAUCACGUGUGUAAGUUUCCUACAUGAACUAUCACCAACUAUUUAUCAAGACAUACAUGAACUAUCGUGUUACCUUUAGUUCAUGUAAGGAAAAGGGAACAAAUGACGGUUGAAGUGUGUGUUGAUAAAUACUUUGGGUAUGAAAAGUGAAUCGGCUAGGAAACUCGCAAAAACGUGAUACUUCAGCUAUGCCCUUUAGCAAUUUCUCUUAUAUCUAUUCACCUUUAUUUAUGAACAUUUUUAAAAAGCAAAAAAAACGUUUUUCCUCUUCAACAAUUUGUCUCAAUCUAAAGCUCAAUUAACAUAACAAUAAAAUACAAUAUAAUAUGAUGCAUUAUGAAACAACAUGUAACAACCAUCCAAAUAGUGUAUAGUACUUGUUGUAUAGUUUAUUUAAAAUUCUAGAACAUUGAGUUGAUCUAGUGUUACCAUAUUGACCCGAGAAGUAGAUGGAUAGAGUAUCAUUUAUGUCUCAAUUCCAAAUUAAUUUCAUUACAGGAAUCCUUUAUCUCUAGAGUUACAAGUCAAAAACACACCUGAAGUAUCACCUUUUUUGCACGUUUCCUACCUAAACUACUACAACAACAACAACUACCUAGUGUAUUCCCACAAAGUGAGGUUUGGAGAGGGUAAGUGUACGCAAAAGAGGUUGUUUCCGAUAGACCUUCGGCUCAGGACAUCUAACAAUAUAACAAACACAAAAGCACACAGCAAGAUGAGAUAAUACACUGCUAGGUAAUAAAGAAAAUAAGACACCCACCAGAUACUACUAUAAACUAUCUAUCCAAGAUCAUAGGCACCACUGAAACACCAUGAACAAGAAACUUCAUACGCAAAUACAAACAAAGCACUCUCCCUACUAUAACGGCUUUCCUCCUACCCACUAACCCUCUACCCUAAUACGAGUCCUCCACACCUUCCUAUCAAGGGUCAUGUCCUCCGUAAGCUGUAACUGCUCUAUAUCAUGCCUAAUAACCUCUUUCCAAUACUUCUUUGGCCUACUUCUACCCCACCUAAAACCAUCCAUAGUCGAGGGUCAUGUUCGCCGUAAGCUGUAACGGCUCCAUAUCAUGCCUAAUAACCUCUCUCCAAUACUUGUUCGGCCUACCUCUACCCUACCUAAAACCAUCCAUAGUCAAGGAUCAUGUCCUCCGUAAACUAUAACUGCUCCAUAUCAUACCUAAUAACCUUUCUCCGGUACUUCUUCGACCUACCUCUACCCCACCUAAAACCAUCCAUCGUCAGCCUCUCACACCUCCAAAUAUUUAUCAAAAGACACUUGAACUAUCAAUUUUUCUUUUUUCUUAUAUGAACUAUCACCAACUAUUUAUCAAAACACACCUGAACUAUCAGUUGUUCCCUUUAAUUCAGGUAGGAAAAGGGAACAUACGACAAUGGACCUGUGUUUUGCUAAAUACUUCAGAUAUGAAACUCGCAAAAACGUGAUACUUCAGGUGCGUUUUUUAGCAUUAUAUCCUAUACAUAUUCAGCUCUAUUUACGCACAUUUUAUAGAAAAAAUAAAUCUCUUAUGUGAACAAUUUGUCACAAUCUAAAGCUCAAUUAACAUUACCAAAUGCAGAAAGGCAAAAAUAUGAGUACCUCGGGAGCCUUUUGAAUAAUCUCUUGUACAUAAUUUUCACCAAAACAUCUAUGUCCAGCUUCAUAAACUUGGUUAAUAAGAGAAAUAGGCUUCGUUUUGCUCACCGCCACCACUCUGACGUCAUCAGCACGGCGGCCGGACCUCUCCGCCGCCUGCCUUACACGGUGGAGCACUGACCGGAGCGCCGUCACGGCUAGUCCCUCGGCGGCCGGAGCAGCCAUUUCUGCUUCAGGCUAUGUUUGGGGGCGCGUUGUUCUCACGCGCUGUAUCAAUUUCGUGCCCCUUCUAUAACCACCAAAAGAAUGGCGGGUAUUUGUUUACUUAUCACACUUAUUUUACGAAGAUUAAUGAAUUAAUAUUUGAAAAUUGAGAUUAAAUUAACUUAGGUUAUUAAAUAUUUAAAAUUAUACGAAAAAGUAGUAUUAUAUCUUUUUAAUACUAAUAUGAUGAAAAUAUAUAUUUUCAACGUACAUAUUGAACGUAUGAGUGUCUUCCCGGGCCUACGACCUUCCUAUGGCCCAAUAUAUAUAAGAUCGACUUCAAACUUCUAACACAAAGUUAUGCGGUGCAUAGGCUAUGUCCCUUGCAACUUUGGGUUCAAACGAGUGUUAUAUCUUCCUCACCGCAGCUCAAGUCGACUCUUUUUCGUCGAGUCUAAAGGAUUAAGACGUACGUCGAAAUACGUUCACCCUAAUUUUUAUAUGUAAUACUUUGGUCAUCAGAGAGUAUCUUUACAAGAAGCCCCAGAGGACGACUAAAAUGGGAACAUUGGCCCAACACCUGACCCACUUGCCUAAUCCAAGAAGCCCAAAACCACUACAACAAAAACACACCCUCAGACGACGCGCAUUUUCCUAGCUUUGAUGUAUAAAGUUAUCUGAUAUUUAUUACCGGUGAGAGGUGGCAGGUAUCCCGUGAAUAUAGUCGAAGUGUGCAAAAGUUAGCCCGGACACCACGUUUAUAAAAACAAAAGGGCAAUUUUCAUAAAUUCUAACAGUUUAGUACAAAAUUACAUAAAAUUCUGACUAUUUUUAUAUUCACGUAAAAUCUCAUUUUCUUUUUCAUUAUUAUUAUACAUAGCUAAGACUCGUGAUACAUCACUAUCUGAUACAUAAGUAUCGAUAAAUAACUGUUAAGUAUUGAUAUCACAAGAUUUAUUUAAAUAGUUAUGUCUUAUACAUCAGUAGCACAAAAAUGUUCUGAUACAUGAUUUUUGUAAAUUUUCAACCAAACACGUCUUUACUGUGUAUCUGUAGCUUAAUAUUCAGUAAGAUACAUAACUUUUGGAUAUUUGGUGGAGGAUCUUGUGAUUUAUCUUCUUGUCCUUUUCUACUGGAUACAUUAUUCUUAUGUAUCUCCGAACUCUUUUAACACAUAUAUCAUUCUUAUAUAUCUUUAUUAACAUCAUCAUCUUCAACACAUACAUCAUUCUUAUGUAUCUUUAUUAAUAUCAUCUUCUUCAACCUCUAUUGACGAAUCUCCAAACUUUAGAAUUCCUCGUGGCUUGAACUACCAUGUACGUCGCCGUGGAUUUGAGAUGUGAUGGUGUAGUACAUCAUGGAUUUGAGAUCUGAUGGUGAAAAUUUGAGAUCUAUAUAUGAAUUCUUUCUGAAUCAUUCGAGAUCUGUAUAUUCAUUCGUCGUGGACGAGCUUGCCAUUGUGUUGGUUGGUGUGAGCUCAUUGAAGCUCGGGUGAUUUCAUCGUUGUUGUGUCGUGGUUCGCUCUGAUUUCAUCAAAGUUGGAGCUCCUCGCCAGAGCUAUGUCUUAAAUGGACGGGAGUGAUAGACAGAGCUGCAAGUAGUAGUUAGGUAGAUAAGUUAAGCAAUGGUUUUUGGGUUGUGUUGAUCACCGAUGAGGAGAAGGGAGAAAGAGGGUCGACUAUGUUGAGCAAAGAGAUAUUUUUUCUUUGUGAUAUUUUAGGAUUUGGAAUCUGGGGUAAUGCAUCUGCCCCGUUUAGACAGAGAAAGAGAAAUCAGAGAUUUUUGUAAUAAUUUUAAGCGAUCGAAAUUUUAAGCAAUAAUGAUAAGUUAAGGUGGACAUUGGGCCAACACCUGACCUCACUUGCCUAAGUCAACAAGCCCAAAUCCACUGCUCCAAAAACAUACUCUCAAUCCCCCAAACAUGGACUCAACAACACAAGCUUAUUUGCUCCAAUAAUUCCCAAUUCUCUAGGGUUUCUUUCUUUCUCACUCCGGCGAUGGAUCUAGAGGUCAGCGACCGCCAUGCCCUCCUCUUUGCCGAUGACUCCACGUCGGCGUUCUUCAACUGCUACGAUGCACAUUUGUCCCAGCCUUGAUGUACAAAGUCAUUUUAUAUCUGUUGCUGGUGAGAGAUGGUAGGUUUCCUAUGAAUUUAGUCGAAGUGCGCAAAAGCAGGCCCGAACGCCACGUUUAUCAAAGUAUAAAAAUUGCCUUAGGUAGAAAUUGGGCCCAACACCCGAGCCAACUUGCCUAAUUCAACAGGCCCAAAUCCACUAUAACAAAAACACACUCUCCAAUCUUAUUGCUCCAAAAAUUCCGAAAAUUCCCAAUUCCCUAGGGUUUCUAUCUUUCUCAUUCCGGCGAUGGAUCUAGAGGUCGUCGGCCGCCAUGCUCUCCUCUUCGACGAUGACUCCACGGCGGCGUUCGUCAACUCCGGCGAAGCUCUUGUUGAUUGGAACUCUCUUCAGAUUGAUCGUUACGAUGUUCGACACCUUCUCUCCGGUCCUCCACCGUCACGACGGCGGUCUCAGUCUUCUUCUUCUUUGGUUAACUCCGUUGAUGCUUCGAUUCAGCUCGAGCUUGAUCAUGAACGGUACCUUGAUCUUCCUUCGCCUUCAGAUGAACCAGGUUAACUUUGCUCUCGCUUCCUCGUCUUUGUUUGAAUGUAUCGUGGUUAUAUUUCGUGUAUAUUGUGUUGAUUUUAGGCGAAAAUGUUUAGAAGUUAAAACUGAUCGAAUAAUCGAUGAUGACUUGCUAGCUGAUGUUAAUAUUUGUUGUGUAUAUAUAUUAUGUUGAUUUUAACUGAAAAUGUUUAGAAAAACUGAUCGAAUAAUGAUAAUGACUGGAUAUCUGAUGUUAAUAUUCGUUGUAUUUAUUGUCGAUUUUCUCGAGCUGAGGGUCAAUUCAGCUCGAGCUUGAUCAUGUACGUUACCUUGAUCUUCCUCUGCCUUCAAAUGAACCAGGUAAAUUUAACUCUUGUGCUUCCUUAAUUUUUUUUUAUAUUGAAUGUAUUGAGGUGAUUUUUCGUGUAUAAAUUGUUUGUUUUAGCAUAAAAAUGUUUAGAAGUUCACUAUUGGAUAGUCGAUAAUGACUGGCUAGCUGAUGUCAAUAUUUGCUGUAUAUAUUGUCGAUUUUGAGCUCGAGCUGAGGGUCGAUUCAGCUCGAGCUUGAUCAUGUAUUUACCUUGAGAGUAAUUGAUAAUGACUGGGUAGCUGAUGUUAAUAUUAGUUGUAUGUAUUGUCGAUUUUGAGCUCGAGCUGAGGGUCGGUUCAGCUCGAGCGUGAUCAUGUACGUUACCUUGAUCUUCCUUUGCCUUCAAAUGAACCAGGUAAACUUAACUCUCGUGCUUAAUUUUUUUUUUGAAUGUAUCAAGGUGUUUUUUCGUGUAUAUGUUGUUGAUUUUAGCAUAAAAAUGUUUAGAAGUUAACGAUUUGGAUAGUCGAUAAUGAGUGGCUAGCUGAUGUUAAUAAUUGUUGUAUAUAUUGUCGAUUGUGAGCUCGAGCUGAGGGUCAAUUCAUCUUGAACUUGAUCAUGUACGUUACCUUGAUCUUCCUCUGACUUCUGAUGAACUAGUUUAACUCAACUCUUGCUUGCUUCCUAUGUUUUUUUGUUCACACGUUGCAGCGGAUUCUUUUUGUGUAUAUAUUUUUGUUGAUUUUAGCAUGAAAUGUUUUGAAGCUAACAAUCUGAUAAACAAUAAUGAGUGACUAGCUGAUGUUAAUAUUAUGUUGAUUUAGCAUAAAAUGUUUAGAAGUUAACAGUUUGAUAAACAAUAAGGAGUGGCUUGCUGAUGUUAGUAUUUGUUCUAUAUGUUUGUUGCUUUUAGCAUAAAAUGUUUUGAAGGUAAUGAUCCGGUAAACAAUAAUGAGUGGCUAGAUGAUGUUAAUAUCUGUUAAGUGGUUCUUUCUACUAUCCGUGUAUAUAUUGUUAAUUGUAGCGUAGACCGUUUAGAAGUUAAUAAUCUGAUAAACGAUAAUAAGUGGCUAGCUGAUGUUAAUAUCUGUUUAAGUUUUUUUUUUUCUGCUAGUUGUGUAUAUAUUGUUGUUUUUUUGCAUAAAAUGUUUAUAAGUUAACAGUUUGAAAAACGAUAAUGAGUAUUCCUGAUGUUAAUAUUUGUUGUGCAUUUAAUUGAUUUUAGCGUAAAUUGAUUAGAAGUUAACAAUUUGAUAAACGAUAAUGAGUGGCUAGCUGAUGUUAACAUUUGUAGUAUAUAUUGUUAUUUUAGCGUAAAAUGGUUAGAAGCUAACAAUCCAGUAAGGAAUAAUGAGUUGCUUGCCGAUGUUAAUUUCUGUUAAGUGGUUCUCAGGUGAAAUACAUAUAUAUAUAAUGGAACUGCUUCAAAUUAGAUAUAUUUAUGCUGACUUUGCAGACUUAAUGUUAGGGAUAAUCGUAUCUAGUUUGUAAUUAUCUGUAUUUAGUUUGUAGGUAUCUGUUAAAUUACACUAUUUAUUUUGAACGCAUAUAUAAGUACAUGUAAUGCAUGGCAGAGUUCAUAGGCUUGAAAAAAUCAUUUGGGUGUCAUUUUACCCAAACUCAACACUUCAAGUGCUGGAUUUGUAUCUGCAACAAUUUGUUGCCUGAGCUAUUUACAGUGCUCACUAAUGGGAUUUCCUAGCGUGGACAACCCAACCCAACCCAACCCAAAUAAAAUAAAAUAAAUAAAUAAAAAGGAUCUGCUAUCCAUCGAGUGCAUUUGCUGCAGUGAACAGACUUAAUUGACAUUAGAAAAUGUAAAUAAAUAUAUAGAACUAUCUUGGGGCAUAGUUGAGGGUCCAUUCUGCACCUGUCUUUGGUAUUCUUUUUCAUUGUGAAAACUUCCUCCGAUGGUAUCAUUUUCUGUUUAAGUUAUUUUGUUGUAUAUUCCCCUAUAUGUUCUUCAGCUUCACAAUGCUGAGGACCUCACCUAGAUGGUUAUUAGAAGUGUAUUUCUUAUUCAUCUUCCGAGGGGGCAACUGAGAAUAAUGUUUUGUUGUUAUGAAAAUGGCGUUGAUAGCAAAUGUUUAUAUAGGCAGGCAGUGCGCAGGCAGUGCCUUCCUAUAAUGUAGGCUGUGGAAAUGUAGCAUGCUUGCUGCCUAGAUAGCGACUGUAGAUUUCUCUUAGCUUCACAAUAGGACCUCUUAUACACAUUUCCAUAUCCCACAACUAGUAAGAUCGUUGUUGCAUAUCAAUGCAAGUAUCAUUAUUUUAACCUCAUCUCAUUCUGUCUCGAGUUCUUUUUCCUAUUGCUUCUGUGUAUGUGACACUGCUCUUGGAUAGUACAUAAAUAUGUUUCUAUAAUUUCUUCCCUCAGAAGUAGAAGAAGGUGAAGAGCCGGCAGAUGCUGGUGCUUAUCGUGCUGUUGGUUUCUCAUAUGGAAACACUGAUGAUUUUGCUGACAGAAAGAGUUCUGAGGCCCAGGAAAGCUCCGACUUCCGUCCCUCCUUUCCAGUGCCGGAAAGCCUUCUUCAGUGCUUGGUAAGCUUGUGCUCUGUGAUUUGUUUUUCUUGUCUGCUUUCGUAAAGCUUGGAUAUUGGUGUUUUCAUGCUUACGAGGUUUUCCCAUGUGGCCAAUGCUACUAGUUGUCUAAACCAUAUGUUAUUCUAAGGCUCACUGUGUCUAAGUUUUCAGAUGCUCGGAGCAGGGAUGGAGUUCCUUUGUCUAAGGUUGCCACUGACAGGCACCUUGUUCCCUUUUGAUGCAUGAGCAAGGGGCAGUGCAGGUGGGAUUAGGAAUGUAAAAAGUUUUCUUUGUAAGGACAAUUUGUUGCUAGUUGAGAGGGAUCUUCCCUUAAUUCACUUGAUAUUGCUCUUUUAUUCAUACUUGUGGAUUGGUAUGUUUGAAGCUUCAGAUUAUAUGUAAGGUUCUAGCUUAUUUUUAUCCAGAAUUGUGAAUUCUACAUUUUAAUGAAGUCUUUUGUUUCUUUUGGUUUUCAAUCUUUUUGCAGCCACCAACAGAAAAGUUACAUCAGAUAAUUGCCAGGACUGCUCUGUUUGUGAGCAAACAUGGUGGGCAGUCAGAGAUUGUUCUCAGAGUGAAGCAGGGAGACAAUCCAACAUUUGGGUUCUUAAUGCCUGAUCACGCUCUUCAUGCAUACUUUAGGUUUCUUGUUGAUCAUCCCGAACUUUUACAGUCUGAUAGUGAUUUGAACACUCAAGGUGAAGGGAAAAAUACUUCUAAUGAGCACAAGGAACAUGAUGGUGUUGGAGGUGCUUUAUCUAUGCUUGGUUCUGUAUAUGGGUUUGGGGAGGAUGAGGAGCCUGCAAAUGGGGAUGAUCCUGGAUCCAGAGUUUCCAGUGCACCGGUUGAUGUCUCUGAUAUCUCUAACAUUUCCCGUCCGCUUGAAAGGGCUGAAUCUAGUUCUAAGGCAUUUGAAAAUGGUGUGAGAGAAAAAGAUGAGAAAGUUUCAACUCAUUCUCUUCGUUCUGGUAAAGAUAAAGAAAAGACUCCUGCAAUGAAAACGAAUAAUUUGAUUAGUGCUUCCAAGAGCGGAAGUAGAAGGAGCACGCGGAAGGAAGAUAACUCUAGUUCGUUGGCUGCAUCAAAAAAGACAAAGUUAGAUAUUUCUGGUUUAGGAGCUAUGACUAAGCCUGGACCUUUGGUGGAGCCUCCAUCUGAAUUGAAGAAAUUGAUUGAUAAGAUUGUAGAGUUCAUUCUGAAGAAUGGAAAGCAGUUUGAGUCUACUCUUAUGGAACAGGACAGCAAACACGGGCGAUUCCCGUUUCUUCUUCCGUCCAACCAGUAUCAUCCUUACUAUCUAAAAGUACUCCAGAGAGCUCAAGAGGUGAAAGUUCUCUCUCUGUCUGGGAAAUGUCAUAUGGGUUCUUCUUCAUUCAAAUGGCUAGUCUUUUUAAAGUUUUUUUAAUGAACUUAAAUUUGAGCAUAUUUUCUUAGUUUCUUGAACUUAGCAUUUGUUUCUUUGACCAAUUAGCAGUAUUUUCUCUUUGGUUCUCGAUUAUUGGUGUAGCUAAUGCAUGUGAGCCUGGUUAUACUACUUUCCUUUUGGAGAGAAGUGUGUGGAAUUACUUUUAACAUUGCGUCUUUGUCUCCACUUUGUUGUGCAGUCAAAAGUCCAUGGAUCAGAAAAGAGAUCUUCUUUGAAGGGAAGUGAUUCUACCUCUUUAGGAUCUGCAGAGAAUGAUCUGCCAUAUGUAUAUGAUAAGAAAGAGAAGUUUAAGAUGGUGAUUGGCAAAUCCAAGAAGGAAACACAAGACUCUUCGGCUAGAGCUUCACAGCAAGAGGUUGAGGUCGGUGUGGACGCUGCUGCUGCUGCUGCUAUCCUUCAGGCUGCCACUAGAGGUAUUAAGAAACCCAAUUUGAGUAUCAUCUCAGGCUCAUCUAAGAACGGCGAUAGUCAGGGUCACAGCAGUGAUGGUGCCCAAGCCUCAAGCUUCUCCAAUGUACCUCCGCGUGGGCCCAGUAUAGUUGGUCAGAAGUCGGACAAGAGGAUGGAACAUAGUGUUUCGAUUCCAAAGGUGAAGGAAAUUGCAAAGUCUGCUGCCGCUGAAGCUGCAGGUGAAGCAGAUUCCUCUGAAGCACACUUGAGCAAAGAGCAGAAGCUAAAAGCGGAGAGGCUGAGAAGGGCGAAGAUGUUUGUUGCCCUUUUAAAAGGUGGAGCAGCUCCUGCCAAAAGAGAUUCACUUGGAGGGUCAGUGGAACUACAAGAAUCUGCCAUAUCAGGCUCUGUUGCAGAGACUAAAGUUGUUACUAAAGAAAGAGAGGGCAGUGCAGCUCCGGCAGAACUGACUGCUAGGGAGAGGGAAGGCAGUACAGCUCCAUUAAAUAACAAUAUGUCGAAUGAAAAUGAGAUAUCUGAAAUGAAAAAUACUGUUGAAGAGCACGAGCGGCGAGCUAGAAGGAAAUACAGGUCAAGAUCUGGUAUGCACAAAGAUGAGGAUGAAGAGGAAGAGAGACAGGAAGAAGAGGAGGAAGAGGAACAGCGCUCUAGGAAGAAGCGCCGCUCUUCAAGAAAAGAUGACGAGGAAGAAAGUGGUGAGGCAAGGGAUGAUAAGCGAUCCAGAAAAAAGAGGCGAUCACGCCGUCAGAGACACAGAGAUAGUGAAAAUGCUGAUGGGGAUGAGGAUGAUGAAGAUACUAGGCGAUCAAGAAAGAAGCAUCGCAGGCGACAUUCAUCCCCCGAAGAUGAUGACGAGCAAAGAGAUGCAGAGAGACAUCAUAAGCAUGGAAGGAAAAAACAUUCAAGUCAUCGGUCUUCACGUGAAAAUAGGAAAGAUGAUUAUGAGGGGGAUCAUAAGCAUUCCAAGAAGAAACGUAAAUCUCACAGAAGCUCCCACCGCAGCAGAG